Molecule: long non-coding RNA, 326 nt
Filed under: Ictidomys tridecemlineatus (thirteen-lined ground squirrel)
Lineage: Eukaryota; Metazoa; Chordata; Mammalia; Rodentia; Sciuridae
Description: lncRNA (ENSSTOG00000031438.1)
Rfam family: tRNA (bases 262-326)
Source: RNAcentral
AAAAAUGUGUUAAGCAGCAGGUUCCCUGGUUACCCUUACUUGCUCUAGAACCAAAGGUAUCUGAUCAUUGUGGGAGGUGCUAAGCAAACAUCAAAAUUGGUUUAUAUAUACAAGACAGUUGUCUGGGGUGAGGAGAGCUGGUUAGAUGAACCCAAUUAACAGCAACCUGUAAUCACUUAGAAAGCCCAGGUAUGUUUUACCUGAAAGUAAUUUGGUCAUUAAACCGCUGCAUUAUAAAUUUUUAAUAACUGUUUCUAGGCUGGGGAUGUAGCUCGGUGGUAGAGUACUUGCCUGGCAUGUGAGAGGUCUUGGGUUCAAUCCUCAAU